This 253-nucleotide ribosomal RNA is filed under the name uncultured bacterium. RNAcentral's name for it is "partial 16S ribosomal RNA". It matches the Rfam family "Bacterial small subunit ribosomal RNA", at positions 524 to 776 of the family's 1533-position model. The record is from RNAcentral.
UACGGGGGGGGCAAGCGUUGUUCGGAUUCACUGGGCGUAAAGGGUGCGUAGGUGGCAGGGUAAGUCGGAUGUGAAAUCUCCGAGCUCAACUCGGAAAUGGCAUUGGAAACUACCCAGCUCGAGGGUUGGAGGGGGGACUGGAAUACUUGGUGUAGCAGUGAAAUGCGUAGAUAUCAAGUGGAACACCAGUGGCGAAGGCGAGUCCCUGGACAACUCCUGACACUGAGGCACGAAAGCUAGGGGAGCAAACAGG